GACACAGCAGAGUGUUGAUUGUUAUCAAAUUAGAUAACACAGUGUUGUGUUUAUUAUUCAGUGACAUCAUAGCUGUGCUAACCAAAUAAAAUAUACAUAAACAUUUUAUCUCUUUAGCAAUCAUCACAAUCUGUAGCCCAGGAAAGCAAAAGUUAUUAAUAUUAGAAAAAAUUUUUAAUUAUUUUUAUUUUUCCAUUAUAGUUGGUAGAGUUCUGUCCGUUUUCUACUGUCCAGCAAAGUGACCCAGUCAUACACACAUAUAUACAUCCUUUUUCUCACAUUAUCCUCCAUCAUGCUCUGUCAUAAGUGACUAGAUAUAGUUGCCAGUGCUAUACAGCAGGAUCUCAUUGCUUAUCCAUUCCAAAGGCAAUGGUUUGCAUUUAAAAUGAAAUAUUUUACCACAGCAGAAUGAAAAUGAGGCUAUAACCAAAGUAAGUUUCCAAGUGGCUCAUUUGUUAGUAUGUGGGACUAUCUGUGUGAAAAGACAUUUUCAAGCACGAGAUAUGCAGAAUCUCACUACAGAUGAGCCUUAGCAGUUACACAUCUGCAGUAAAUUUGGAUGAUGAAGAAUACUAAUUUUGAACCCUAGUUAAGCCAAAUAUUCCCCCCCAAUUUUUGAUUUUUACCAAUAGUAGAUCUGUGUCUCUCUCUCUCGGGUACACACACCACAUCGACACAAUUGCUGUUGAUCACUGCUACUUCAUUUGAAAGUCACCAGUUAAAACAACUGCGGAGAUGUUUUUUAUCUUUUUGUAUAGAUAUCUACACAGUAUCCUAUGCUGUGCCUUUUUGCCCGCAAAGCUUAAGAGAUUUACUGUCUGGCUCUUUACUAAAUAAGUUUGCCAUUACCUGUCUAAAGUACAUAAAAAUACUUUCCUUCUAUGAAACAAUACUUUUAUGUCAUAAGACUUAAAUAUUUUGAUUACGUAGUUAAUAAAUAGUUCAUUCUACAGUUGUUUUUAAGACACAAGUUAGGUAUCGUUUCAUUAUUGAUUUACACAUUUGAAAAAUAUUUAACAUUUCUAGUCUCUUUACUGCCAUUCUUUCUAAUGCCUAAGCCCUCCCUUUCUCAACCCUUUUCCUUUCCCCUGAAGUAUAUCAUUUAGAACAAUUUUAAGGAGGAUUCAGCUUUGGCUGAUGUUUAUUUUGUCUUUAUUUCCAAUGUAUAAUUUUGCUGAGUAUACUCUGAAAGUUAUUUUCGUUUAGCAUGGGGAAAUAUUUCCUCCUGUCUCUGGGCUUCCACAGUGGUUGCUGAAAAUUCUGCUACUGGUGCUGUGUUCUUAGAUACUCAGAGGACUUCUAAACUUCAACAUACUCAUCACCAAUCUAGAGUGGGUACUAUAGCUAAUUUUAAUAAUAACAUAAUCCUUAGGCAUAAAUGAUUUAAUAUUCUAAACUUCAACAUGCCUUGCCCUUCUUUUCAAAUUUUUCAAUAUUUUUUAAUCUGAGCUUUAGAGGAAUUUAAGAUUAUAGUGAAAUUUUCAAACACAGCAUUGCUGAAAGUAUAUCAAUUUUUUUACUCUGCAUAAUGAAGAUAACAUAUAAAUAUGUAACAGUGCUUUUCUUUUGUGCAUUCGCAUCCAUAGAUGAUUUAAUAUUACUAAAAUUAAAAUAUUGCCACCCAUUUUCAGAUGCAUUGUUCCAUUUUAUUCUGGCAGCAGUCCUACGUAUUAGACAGCUGUGGUAGACUAUAUUUUUCAAAAUUUGUUGCACAAAUAGCUCCCACUACUUGCUUGUCUUAUAUUGUGACUUUUACCCCUCCUUUUGAAGGUAGGUGUGAUUAUGACAGGUAUGUCCCUGGGAUCUCUGACCUUAGGUCGUAAAAGUCCCACAGUAUCUGCCUGGGUUAUUUGGGUGCUCACUGUUAGAUCCGAGUCUUUGUGAGGAAGUCCUGUGACCACAGGGAGAGGCUCCAUGUAAGUGUUCCAACUGAGAUUCCUGGUGACAGUACCAACCAUCAGGCAGAGGGAGGCAGACUUCAGAUGCCUUCAGCCCAGGCCAUUGCGGCACCCCCAGGCAGUUACAUCCUGUGGAGCAGAAAUGGGCUGUUCUUAUCAAUCCCUGCCAAAAGAGCAAAAUAAAUCUCUAUUAUUUUAAGCCACUAUGUUUGAAGUACUUUGUUUCCCUGCCACAAAUGACUAGAGUAGUUAUUAUUUUCAUCAAUUGAAACAAAAAUGGUAUGAGUCUUAGCAUAACAAGUGAAUUAGCUUUUCCAAGUUCACAUAGUAACUGAGUAAAGAUAGAGGAUUGCACGAACAUUUUUAAACUCUGCAACCUUUACGUAUAUUAAUAUUUGUAAUUUCGCAUAGAACCCCAAUAAGAUACACACCACUGAGGAUCUUGAUAAUAAACAUGGGGCACAGGGAAGUUAAGGCAAAGCGUCCAAAUUUAUACAAGUUGUAAGUGGCCAUAGCCCAGAUGCAAACCUGGUAGCUUCUCUCUCAAAUACGUUUUCUUAACCAUUCUAUAAUCAGACUUUUCGACUUCUUCCUCUUUCCACUAAUCCAUAUCACAUUGACAGCUCUAAAACCGUAAAAGUUUAAGAUAGGAAUUGAGUUAUCUGCCCUAAUAUUUGGUUUAGCAGUCUAAAAAGAGUGGAGGCAGGUUCUCUCUGCUAAUAAUGACACAUACAUACAAACUAUGUGCACAUGUUCAGAGGGUUACAGACCUGCUUGAAGCCAAGAGAUUUAACUGUAGGUUGUAGGAAACUCACAAUCUCCUUUUUUACAUCGUAAGUGGACCUCCAGACCUCUAAUGUGAAGGCAACAGAAGGAAAUUUACACCAUAAUGAUGCAAAAUGAAGAAAUUGAUGAAUUACUCUAAGCAGAGAUAAAAUGGAAAUCAACUUAGUUUUAUCAAGAUACAUUAGGCAGUUUCCCAAUCUGCAUAUUUAUUAUGAAUAACACUCUCCUUUUUCUACAAUAAGUUUAUCUUAGGAAUGGCUUUUGAUAAUGCUCCUGUCUAUGAUUCCUUCUUUGUAUUAAAAGAUUAGCAUCCAAUAUUAAUCUUAAGACUUAGACUUUUGGCCAAAGCAUUGAUGUUUAGUAGAAUCCAAAAAAUAAAUUGACGUCUAAAUUGUUUAAGUGCAAUGGGAAUAGGUGUCAAAAAAAAAAAAAAAA
Molecule: long non-coding RNA, 3119 nt
Filed under: Sus scrofa (pig)
Lineage: Eukaryota; Metazoa; Chordata; Mammalia; Artiodactyla; Suidae
Description: lncRNA (ENSSSCG00015027218.1)
Source: RNAcentral